UACGUAGGGGGCAAGCGUUGUCCGGAUUUAUUGGGCGUAAAGAGCGUGUAGGCGGCUUUACAGGUCCGUUGUGAAAACUCGAGGCUCAACCUCGAGACGCCGGUGGAAACCGUAAGGCUAGAGUCCGGAAGAGGAGAGUGGAAUUCCUGGUGUAGCGGUGAAAUGCGCAGAUAUCAGGAAGAACACCCGUGGCGAAGGCGGCUCUCUGGGACGGUACUGACGCUGAGACGCGAAAGCGUGGGAGCGAACAGG
This 252-nucleotide ribosomal RNA is filed under the name uncultured bacterium. Its description in RNAcentral is "partial 16S ribosomal RNA". It matches the Rfam family "Bacterial small subunit ribosomal RNA", at positions 524 to 776 of the family's 1533-position model. The record is from RNAcentral.